AAAGAACUCAAAGUGUGAAGUGGAUAAUGAGUGUUCUGUCUGUUGAGUGGAACAUUUAGUUGGUUCAGUCUAUGCAAAGUCCGUUUUAUCUGUGAUUUCGGUGGUCUUCCUGGUGAUUUCCUUUAUGGAGCUUUCAGGACACUCCAUUAAUGCCCUCUGCGAUAAAACCAAUUAGUUAACAUGGGAGGAAGUGACUCUAGAAUUAAAGUCGGAUGAUCAAGUUGCUUAGAAUUUCUCAAAUCUGGUUCUAGUAGGGAAAGUAAUUUCAACAAAAGGGGUGUCUCUUGCUCACUUACGCAGUGUUCUAAAGCAGGUAUGGAAUUUGGCGUUUAGUUUUGAAAUCCAAUCUUUGCCAGAUAUGAAGAAUUGCUUUUUGUUUAAUUUUACACAUGAAAGGGAUAAGAGAAAGGUCAUAAAGGGUGUUCCCUGGUCAAUUAAUAAUUCUCUUCUGGUACUCAAACCAUGGCGCACUCAUUUGAAAGUGGAAGAGAUAAAUUUCUAUAGAACCCCUUUCUGGAUUCAAGUUCAUGGAUUACCAUUAAACCAGAUGACUAGAAGCAAUGCCUAGUUAAUUGUUAAUCUUUUUGAGGAUUUGAUUGAGGUAGAUUUUGCUUCCAAUCCAUAUGCUUCUGUUGGUAGUUGUAUGAGAUUGCGGGUGGAAGUUAAUAUUAGAAAGCCUCUCAUGGAAGGAUUUACUAGUAAAACUCUAGAUGGUCAGCUUGAAAGGGUCUGGUUUCGUUUUGAGAGGCUUCCUGAAUUCUGCUAUAUGUGUGGACUAUUGGCACACCAAAUAAAUGCUUGCCCAAAUAUAUCUCGAGUCACUGGAGAGAUAAACCGAAGUAAAAGGCAGGAAUUUAGACCCUGGAUGCGUGCAAAGAUUUUUUAUGCUAAACCUCGUUUUUCCUUGGCUAUGGAGAAAAAGGUGGGAGAAAGAUCUGGUGAAACAAGGCAACCCAGAUUGCAGGGGCGAAUCAUAGAGCGUGGAUCGCAUGAAGUUCCCAGGGAGAGUGAAACAAGCACUCCACAUAUUCCUAACAUUGGCAAUAUGGAUAUGGUUUUUGCCUAGAGCCUUUAACUAGCAGUACUCAACCUUUAAAUAUCUCUGCCGCUCCCAUCAUAAACCUGCAAAGCUCAACCAUCACCUCGAUCAUACAAAACCAGAAGCUAUCAAUUUCUUUUAUCCCUUUGGGGGUGGAGAGUACUUCCUCUGGAAAAAAUGAUGUUACACAUAAGAUGGCUUUUCAAGGCUUUUCUUUUGAUAUCUAUGUUGAUAGGGAUUUGGGAUCUCAACCCCUUAAAAGAAAAUAGUCUCCUUUCCAAUUCCAAGCUACUAAAAACCCCAAUGACUUCUCCCUAAAAAGCCAAUUUUCAAGCCCAACAGAGACCUUUCCAAUGGCCUAAUUUUUGCUCUUCAUCCAACUUAUCUUGGGCUGAAAUUAUUGGAAAGCCUGUGUUUAUUCCUCUGAGCAACCUAGUCUUAACUCUCAAAAACAUUAAACUUUGCCAGUAUAAUACGUCUGGAGCCAACCCAACGCCGAGUAUCCAAAUUGAAUUUCUUAAUAACACAGGUUCAUCCUCUAGUCCAGUUUGUUGUCCUCCAAAACCCAUAAAACCAAAGAUGAAGAUGUUGGCUCGUAAAGUCUGGAAUUAUUCUGUUGAAGAAUCUACAGAGGUGAUUACUUCCACUUUAUCCACUCAAGUUUGUUAAAAUUUGCACCAAGAGUCUGCCCCCUUUUCUGAGGCUUCGGUGGCUAGCCUAAAGCCACCAGAGGAACAAUGACGACCAUUAGUUGAAAUUGUCAAGGGGCAGGGCACCCCUUGACAAUGAAAGCUCUAAGGGAGCUUGUUUAAUAUUACCAGCCCACUUUUGUUUUUUUAUCAGAAACUAAGAAGUCUUCUUUUUUGGAAAAGUGGAAAUAUCGCAUGGGUUUUUAACAAUCAUGGUAUGUGGAGCCAGAAAAUCAAGGGGUUUGGCGUUGUAGUGGAGGGCCAAUUGCCAUAUUCAAAUUUUGCAAUCCAGUAAGAGAUGGAUUGAUGUCCUGGUGUCUCAAUGGUUUUUGAGCCAUAUUUCUUUUGUGUAUGGAGACCCAGAUGUCCAGGGGCUCAUUUCUUUUCUUAAUUCUUUGAAAUUUUCAAACAUGCACAAUGGUUUGCCAUGGCUUAUCAUUGGAGAUACUAAUAUUUGUAGUAGCAUGGGGGAUAAGUGGGGAGCUGGUGGUAUAAAUGCUCGGAUUGCAAAUGCUUUUCACUCUUUCUUGUUUGAUGAAGCUUUAGAGGAAUUGCCAUUUUGUGGGCCUCGAUUCACCUGGUCAAACAAGCAGGAUGGGUUUGCUAGAAUUAUGGAGAGAUUAGACAAAGCCAUUAUUAAUCUUGAUUGGAGCUUUCAGUUCACUCAGAGUAUUUUGAUUCAUGAAAAAAUGAUUGCUUCUGACCAUAGGCCUGUUGUUCUCUUACUAAAGCCGAUGUGUAAAAGAGCUAGAAAUACCUUUAAAUUUGAUAUCAGGUGGUCUGCCUUUGAUGCUUGUAAUGUCUUGAUUAAGGAGUUAUGGAUUUCUUCUUCAAACUAGUUGCUCAGGAAACUAGAAAGAUGUAAAUAUCUCUUACAAAACUGGAGCCAAAAUCACUUGGGAGACACUCAUCAUCGUAUUAAGGCUCUCUUGAAGAAAUGGAUGCUCUUCAUUCUUCAGCAUAUCCUACUUUAUUGCACGAUGAAAUAGAGGUAACAAAAUCUCAGUUGCAAUAGUUAUGGAAGCUUGAGGAGAUGUACUGGUAUCAAAGGUCAAGGAUCAAUUAGGUUACUCAUGGCGAUCGAAAUACCCAUUUUUUCCAUGCUCCUACAACUCUAAGAUGACAGAGAAAUUAGAUUCUCAAAAUCUAGGAUGGAGCAGGGAAUUGGAUUCUGGAUAAUAGUUUGGUAAAACAAGAAGCUCUUCAGUUUUUUAAAGAUUUGUUUGCCGAAAAGGAAAGUGUGUUCUUAGAUGAUAUCUUGCAAGUUAUCCUGGUUGUUAUCACGGAUGCCAUGAAUGAUAUAAUGUGUAGUCUAGUAUCAGAGGAAGAAAUUAAGGUUGCUCUAUUUGGGAUGGGAGCAUACCAAGCCCCGGGACCUGAUGGUUAUCUAGGUUUUUUUCUAUCAGAAGUAUUGGGACUUUAUUAAAUCUGAUCUUAUUGCUUUGGUAAUGGAUUUUUUUCUCUUUUGGAGUUAUGCCUAGCCAUCUUAAUGCAACUAGU
RNAcentral lists this unclassified non-coding RNA (3228 nucleotides) under Hevea brasiliensis (rubber tree). The record is from RNAcentral. Lineage: Eukaryota; Viridiplantae; Streptophyta; Magnoliopsida; Malpighiales; Euphorbiaceae.